This is a long non-coding RNA of Fukomys damarensis (Damara mole-rat), 1888 nucleotides long. NCBI's taxonomy places the organism in Eukaryota, Metazoa, Chordata, Mammalia, Rodentia, Bathyergidae. The record is from Ensembl.
AUGAAACACUGCUGCCGGCUACAUCCACUAUCACCCGGCACAGUUGGGCUACCAUACCCCUUCUGUCUCCAAAACAGGUCUGGUGGGGUUUUAAGAAGUCAGCUUUCUCUCGUGUCACCUGUUCUAAAAUCUAUUUGUGUGCUGGCCGCCCCUUGUCUCACCCUGAAUUCUUCUGUACACUUAAACAUUCUUCUUCAUACUGCAGCUGGAAAGGGCCCCUCGGAUCAAAUUGGAUGUAUGACUCCAACUCCUUUCCAUGUACAUCACUGGAACCAGGGCUGCCGACAUCCAGGAAGGGCUCCAGAGUGCAGAAUGACCUCCUGCCAUUACAGAACUGCUGAGAAGGCACCCCUUCCUCUGCGAGCCCUGCCCUUCCACUUGACCUUCUCAGCCCAGCUUGAAUGUGGAUGGACAUCCUCGUCACCAUGGCAGUGCCACCAGAUCUGACCCAAAUACUUCGGGCUUGCUCCAAUCUGUCUUUUAAGAAACAGGCACAAUAUAAUUUUACUCUUGUGUCAAAAUGGUAGAGCUGGGCUGGGGAUUUAGCUCAGUGGGUCUGCCGCCUGCCACACAAGCGCAAGGACCCAAGUUGGAUUCCAGUACCAAAAAAAAAAAAAAAAAAAAAAAAAAAAAAGAUAGAACUCAGUUAAAAAAAUCAUACCGAGUCUGUGAAAAACAAACCCUAAAAUUAUUUAUGAAACUUCUGCCUUCAGCUUGCAAGUUUACAAUACAAAUGUGGACUGAGCUCCCCUUUUUUUUAGGGAAUACCACUUGGCACAGGUGGUAAGAUGUGAUUCUGCCCUCAAAGAGCUCAUGCAUCGCUAUUGCUUUUGUAAGAAGAAGGAAGUGCCCAAUCAACAUGCCCACAAGGUGCCAUUGUGUCAGAGAAUGAGAAGAGCGUGGCACCCGUUAGUCCAGGGUAACCUCACCAAGCGCCAAGCCUGGUGCUCAGCCUUAGGGUGCGCUGGGAAGGAGAGGGCAUGCGGGCUGAUGAGGACAGCAGAGGCAGAAGGGCGGCCUGUAUGGGGAAAGUCUGGAAGGCAAGCUGGAGUCGGCUGGUGCCUCUGAACUUGACACUGACAGCUGAUUCUACUCUGCUGCUGAGCUGGGGGUGCAAUUCAGAGAGGAGAACUCCUGGAAGGGCAAGCAGUGGCAGGGAGGUGCCUGAGAAGAAAAGGACUGGAAAGCUUCCAGGGGUCAGGAAGGAAAAGUACAGGGACACAGUCAUUUGCCAGGUUCGCGCAGAACAUCAGAAGUGGAAGCAAAGCCAAGUGUUUCUGCCCUCUCAGGCAUAGGGCUUCCUUCUCUGAUACUAAUUCUCCAAAGGCACUGCUGACUUCCAUUCUCGGCCUCUGUCUAGAACACAGACUCAGCUGAAGCAGAAGUGACUGCCGAGUGUGCAGAGCAAAUGCACACUAUCAUUCAGUCGCUGUAGGCACUUCUGAUGAUGCAGGCACACUGUGAGGCAUAACUUGUAUCCUUCAAUUCAUGGCCACAGUGAACUUGGGAUGCACAAUGCUGCUCACAGACCUUCUCCACACAAGAGGUGUUGGCCCCACCCCAGCAGCCCGACCCAGCUCCAAUGCUAGUGCAGAAUGAGCAGAGUCUCAGGCUACAAUCAGGUUCUCAGUCUCCCUCCCUUUCAAGUUUUUAUCAUUCUAUUCUGUUCUUUCUACUUAAAAAUGAUUGUUCGGUACUAGUAGAAGCAUAAGCUGCUUCUUCAAAGAAGCACCAACUAGCAUCUGCUCUUGUGCAAGAAGGCCUCAAGGUCUCGAGAGGGAAGUCAUUUCUGCCCUUAUCUCAAAGUAAAAAUACUGACUCCCAGGGCAGAGGAUUUAGCUCAGUGGUACCACACCUGUCUUGGGAGCGCAAGGUCCUGAGUUCAAUC